This is an RNA transcript of Solanum dulcamara, 1691 nucleotides long. It is a transcript of the gene named NAD-dependent protein deacylase SRT2, with no coding region annotated. The transcript is spliced from 12 exons. Lineage: Eukaryota; Viridiplantae; Streptophyta; Magnoliopsida; Solanales; Solanaceae. The record is from RefSeq and is a predicted model, not a curated record.
CAGACGAAAACCAAAAUAUAUAUAUAAAUGCCCCUAGAGAAAGAAAAAAAAUUAGCAAAUUUUCCCCUUUUCAGUUGUGAGCGGUGGAGAAUUGUUGGACGUGGAAGACGAUACGUUCGAUGGCGGAACAGUAGAGGUGCCUAAUAAUAGGGAAAUUGGAAGAGCAAAAAUCUCAAACACGAGCAAAAUUAUAGCCUAAUUUCUAUGGCCAUGUCAAUAUCUCUACGAAUUUGUUGCAGACCUUCAAUUUCUGGCUUAAAGAAUAAAAGAGAUUUGUUGGGCUUAGAAUUGGCAGCUUAUCAAUCAAGUAAUCCGAUGGGGAAAUGGUUUAGUGGAGUGAAGAAGUUUAUUCCCUUUGAGGGAUAUGUUAAGUCUGUGAAAACAGCUGCACGAAUAUCAUUUCCAACAAUCUCAUCAGACUGUAAAGAUAAAGAGCCUUCAAAUUUUUUGAGUCACAAGAAGAUGGUUCCUUAUUCGGAACCCCCUAGCAGGGAAGAUGUGGACAGUUUGUAUGAAUUUUUUGAUAGGAGCACCAAGCUUGUUGUAUUGACGGGAGCUGGCAUGAGCACAGAGAGUGGAAUUCCGGAUUACAGGAGCCCAAAUGGAGCUUAUAGUACGGGUUUCAAACCAAUUACCCAUCAGGAGUUUCUCCGAUCAAUCAAGGCUCGAAGGCGUUAUUGGGCACGGAGCUAUGCUGGCUGGAGACGUUUCACUGCUGCUCAACCUAGUACAGGUCAUAUAGAUCUAUCAUCUCUUGAGAAAGCAGGCCAUAUAAGUUUUAUGAUUACACAGAAUGUGGACAGGCUGCAUCACCGGGCUGGCAGCAAUCCACUUGAAUUGCAUGGGACUGUCUACAUUGUUGCCUGUACAAAUUGUGGUUUUUCUCUACCUCGAGAUCUAUUUCAAGAUCAAGUGAAGGCUCAUAAUCCCAAGUGGGCAGCAGCUAUUGAAAGCUUGGACUAUGACAGUCAAUCAGACAAGAGCUUUGGAAUGAAGCAAAGGCCUGAUGGGGAUAUUGAGAUCGAUGAGAAAUUCUGGGAGGAGGAUUUCUACAUUCCUGAUUGUCAGAGGUGCCAAGGAGUUCUGAAACCUGAUGUUGUCUUCUUUGGAGAUAAUGUCCCCAAAGCUAGGGCAGAUGCUGCCAUGGAAGCUGCAAAGGAAUGUGAUGCCUUCCUUGUACUUGGUUCAUCUUUGAUGACCAUGUCCGCUUUCCGGCUUAUCAAAGCUGCUCGUGAGGCAGGUGCUGCUACUGCAAUUGUAAAUAUUGGUGCUACACGAGCUGACGAUAUUGUACCUUUGAAAAUUAGUGCUCGAGUUGGAGAGAUACUUCCAAGAUUGCUCAAUGUUGGAUCAUUAAGUAUUCCUGCUCCUUAGUUCCUGAUUCAGGAAAGUGUUAAUUAAUAGCACCCAGAUUCUUUUUCAUCAGUUGCUGCAAUGGAUUGUACACUUGACCGGAACGUGCAAGUUUGCUGCAUUUCACGUGUGGUUGUGAGCCCGGACUUGCUUGAUCUCCUAGUGUUUCCACCACAUUCGAAGCUAUUAUUUAGAGUGUUGAGGUAGCUGUUACAUCCAUCUAGCGGACACCUCUUACUCUUUUAAUAUGUUUUAGUCCUAUUCUAGAGAUAAAGACAUUGUGACUGUAUUUUCUUUCGUACUUCGAUAAUGUAUUAGUGGCUUAUAUACGUGACAAC